UAAAAAAAAAUUAUUUAGUUUAUUUGUUUUAUAAUUAGAAUUAAUAAAAUUAAUUUUAACAUUAAAAGUUUAAGUAUUUUAUAAAGAAAAAAUAAUUAUAAUGAUAGUUAAUUAGUAUUGUAAAAGAAUUUUUAAAUAUUUUGAAAAUAGUUUAUUUUAAAAGAAAAUAUUAUUUAUUGUACCUUGUGUAUCAGGGUUUAUUAAUUGAAAAAUAAAAAUUUAUUAUUCCCGAAUUUAAAAGAGUUAAUAAAUUAUGUUAGUUAACGUAUUAAAGUUAUUAAUAAUAAUUUAUUGGAAAUGAAAUGUUAAUCGCUUUUAAAUAUAUCUGGUUUUCUAAGAAAUAAAUUUAAUUUAGUUAAUUAUUAAUACUUUUUUAUUUAAAAAAUUAAAUUAGUAAUAAUUAAAAAUAUUUUAAGGGAUAAGCUUUAAAGUAUUAUUUAUAAUUUGUGUUUAGAUUUUUAAAUUUAUAGGCUUAGAAAUAGCCAUUAGUUAAAAAAAUGUUAUAAUUUAUUUAAAGAUAAAAAUAAUUUUUUGUAAGUUUAAGUAUUUAUUAGAAUAAAUUUAGUAAUAAAAAUAAAUUUGUAAUAAUGAUAAAAUUAGUAUAAAUAAUUGUAGAAAAUAAUUUAAUAAGAAAGGUUAAAUUAAGGAACUCGGCAAAUAAAUACUCGCCUGUUUAACAAAAACAUGUCUUUUUGAUAAUAAUUUAAAGUCUAAUCUGCCCACUGAUUUUAUUAAAGGGCCGCGGUAUUUUGACCGUGCAAAGGUAGCAUAAUCAUUAGUCUUUUAAUUGAGGGCUAGAAUGAAUGAUUGAACGAAGUAUUAACUGUCUCAAUUUAAUUGAUUGUAGAAUUUAUCUUUUAAGUUAAAAGACUUAAAUAAAUUUAAAGGACGAGAAGACCCUAUAGAGCUUUAUAUUUUAAAAGUAAUUUAUUUAUAGAAAAAUUUAAAUUUUAUUUGUAAGAGUAUUUUGUUGGGGUGACAGGAAGAUUUAAUAAACUCUUUAUAUAAUUUAAACAAUGAUUUUUGAAAAAUUGAUCCAUUUAUAGUGAUUAUAAGAUUAAGUUACCUUAGGGAUAACAGCGUAAUCUUUUUUGAGAGUUCUUAUCGACAAAAAGGGUUGCGACCUCGAUGUUGGAUUAAGGGUAAUUUUUAGGCGGAGAAGUUUAAAGUUUAGGUCUGUUCGACCUUUGAAUCCUUACAUGAUCUGAGUUCAGACCGGCGUAAGCCAGGUUGGUUUCUAUCCUUAAUAUUAUAAAAUAUUUUAGUACGAAAGGACCAAAUAUUUAAGAUAAUUCUUUUUAGAUUGAUUGCAAGUAAUAA
Molecule: ribosomal RNA, 1320 nt
Filed under: Bittacus planus
Lineage: Eukaryota; Metazoa; Arthropoda; Insecta; Mecoptera; Bittacidae
Description: 16S ribosomal RNA
Rfam family: Archaeal large subunit ribosomal RNA (bases 621-1320)
Source: RNAcentral